RNAcentral lists this long non-coding RNA (1423 nucleotides) under Trifolium pratense (red clover). RNAcentral's name for it is "long non-coding RNA (TPRA_LNC011966)". The record is from RNAcentral. Lineage: Eukaryota; Viridiplantae; Streptophyta; Magnoliopsida; Fabales; Fabaceae.
AAACAUUUCUCACAAAAAAGACUCAGUUUAGUGCGUUGCGUUCAUUUUAUGGUUUUUAUUACUUUUUUGAAAAAGAAAUAAUUAAAAGAACGCCGAUUAUCCGCAUUUCGAGGUAAUCACCAAGAAUACGAAUAACCAGAGAACCGGAGAGCCACAUGACAAACCGAUCCUUUUUCAUUCUAUUUUUAUUAAAAAAAGACAAGUUUCUUUUUUAUCACACAAAUAACUUAACAAAAGAGAUAAACUAUUCUAACAUAUUUCACACAAAUAACUCAACAAAAAAGGAUAAACUAUUCUAGCAUACUAAACCCUAAAAAAACAAUCUAACAUAUUUCCACCUUUUUAUACUAAAAGAAAUAAAAAUACGAAAGAUAAAACACUAGAAAAGGAUAAAAAAAAACACAUUUUUUAGGUCGGGGGGGUGUAAAUAGCAGAUCUGGGCUGCACAGGGGGUGUGGAUAGCAGAACAAAAAUUAAUCAGGUACAGCGUUAAGAUAAGGGUGUAUGGUAGGCUUCCCGGAUCUAGGCCUUUUGAUUUGAUCAAAUGGCUUGGAUUUAAAAAUCCACUAACAGAUCUCGGCCUCACAUCCGAUCUAACGAUUGUGUNNNNNNNNNNNNNNNNNNNNNNNNNNNNNNNNNNNNNNNNNNNNNNNNNNNNNNNNNNNUCAACCUCACGCAUGGUGAAGAAAAAGAAGCCAUUGAAGCUUCAUCGAAGCUCUCGGCUCCAACAACAACAUCAUCGAUUCUUCGUCAAAAUUUACAAAUGAGUAUACGAUUUUGCUCGGUUUUUCACGUAGAUCGUGAAUAUAAACUUAGAUUUUUCAAAAGAUGUUUGUAACUCAAAAACGGUUCGAAACUUUAAAACCCAAAAAAACUUUAAAUUUCACAUUUGUACGAUUUAAGCAAAAUCAAGGGUCGGAAAAGCUUCAUAUGAUAUUCAGGAGUAAAAAGCGUUUAGAAUCUUACCGGUUUCGAGCUUUGUUUUGGUGGGUUAACACCUACUCUUCUCUUUGCUAUUUUGAACUUUGAGUAAGCUCCUCUUGACGGUUUUCCUUCGUUUUUAUUGUUGUUUCAAGCUACUGGAAGUGAUUAGAGGCUUUUGGGUGAAGAAGAUUGAAGUUUGGAAGGUGUUUGAGUCAAUUUCGGAUUUUGGAAAAGUGAUGAAAAAAUGAGAUUUUUUUGGUUUUUCUCUUCUCUGUUCCUCCCAAAAAUCGCCUCCUCAUGCUCUGAAAUGUUACCUCUACUUAUACUAGAAAAUUAGGGUUUGAGUGGCCAAGAAGGGAAGGAAAAGCUCCACCUUUAAUCAAUGGUGAAGCCUUGAUCAAAUUAGGGAAAAAGUUAAAAUUUUGAGUUUGAAUGGGAGAAGGAAGUGCUGCCAAUGUUGUUGCAAGUGUUUCACGUGUUCUGUUCUGCUUGUUUCUUU